RNAcentral lists this ribosomal RNA (1462 nucleotides) under uncultured Mantoniella. RNAcentral describes it as "partial Bacterial large subunit ribosomal RNA". It matches the Rfam family "Bacterial large subunit ribosomal RNA", at positions 1 to 1470 of the family's 2925-position model. The record is from RNAcentral. Lineage: Eukaryota; Viridiplantae; Chlorophyta; Mamiellophyceae; Mamiellales.
CAAUCAAUAAAGGGCAUAUGGUGGAGACCUAGGGACCUAGAGCCGAUGAAGGGCGUGACAACCGACGAUAUGCCUCGGGGAGCAGGACGUAUGCACUGAUCCGAGGAUUCCCGAAUGGGGCAACCCAAUGCAUUCCUUCUUGAAUUCAUAGAGAAGAGAAAGACAACUUGGUGAACUGAAACAUCUUAGUAGCCAAAGGAAAAGAAAGCAAAAGCGAUUCCCAAAGUAGCGGCGAGCGGAAUGGGAACAGCCUAAAAGGACUUUGACAGCAAUGUAAAGACCAGGUCAUGGGACCAAACAGAUGGCAUUGUCUCACAUGAGAAACGAAACAGCUGAAACCUGUACCAUAGAUGGUGAAAGUCCAGUCGUUGUAUCACUAGUAACAAAAGCCGUUUGGCUCCCGAGUAGUAUGGGACACGUGAAAUCCCGUAUGAAUUUGCGAGGACCACCUCGUAAGGCUAAAUACUCCUAGGUCACCGAUAGCGAAUAGUACCGCGAGGGAAAGGUGAAAAGAACCCCUUUACGGGGAGUGAAAUAGAACAUGAAACCGUAUGCUUACAAUUUGUGGGAGGAUGUACACAUCUGACCGCAUGCCUGUUGAAGAAUGAGCUGGCGACUUAGAAGAAGUGGCAGGUUAAGAUUUUCCAUCGAAGCCAAAGCGAAAGCAUGUCUGAGAAGGGCUCUCGUCCCUUCUUCUAGACCCGAACCCAGGUGAUCUAACUAUGACCAGAAUGAAGCUUUGGUGAUACGAAGUGGAGGUUCGAACCGACCGAUGUUAAAAAAUCGACGGAUGAGUUGUGGUUAGGGGUGAAAUGCCAAUCGAACUUGGAGCUAGCUGGUUCUCCUCGAAAUGCGUUGAGGCGCAGCGGUUGAUUAUGGGCUUCCAGGGGGUAAAGCGCUGUCUCGGUGCGGGCUGCGAAAGCGGUACCAAUCUGUUGCAAACUCGGAAUACCUGGAAUGCUUUCAAUCAGCCAGUGAGACUGCGGGGGAUAAGCUCCGUAGUCAAAAGGGAAACAGCCCAGACCACCAGCUAAGGCUCCUAAAUAAAAGCUAAGUGGCAAAGGAGGUGAAAGUGCAGUGACAAUCAGGAGGUUUGCCUAGAAGCAGCCACCCUCUAAGGAGUGCGUAAUAGCUCACUGAUCAAGCGCUUUUGCGCCGAAAAUGACCGGAACUAAGCUUUUUGCCGAAGCUGUGGCUACAUCACACUGAUGAUGUAGGGUAGAGGAGCGUUCCGCCCAGGGGGAAGCCAAGCGCGUAAGCCGCGGUGGACAGGGCGGAAGUGAGAAUGUCAGCUUGAGUAACGUAAACAUUGGUGAGAAUCCAGUGCCCCGAAAACUCAAGGGUUCCUGCGCAAGGCUCGUCCGCGCAGGGUCAGUCAGGACCUAAGGUGAGGCCGAAAGGCGUAAUCGAUGGCAAGAAGGUUUAUAUUCCUUCACUAGUCUAGGCUUAGUCCUGAGGGACG